RNAcentral lists this ribosomal RNA (305 nucleotides) under uncultured bacterium. RNAcentral's name for it is "bacterial SSU rRNA". It matches the Rfam family "Bacterial small subunit ribosomal RNA", at positions 335 to 637 of the family's 1533-position model. The record is from RNAcentral.
GGCCUACGGGAGGCAGCAGUGAGGAAUAUUGGUCAAUGGGCGGAAGCCUGAACCAGCCAAGUCGCGUGAGGGAAGAAGGCCCUGCGGGUCGCAGACCUCUUUGGACGGGGAGCAAGGCCGCCGACGUGUCGGCGGAAGGAGAGUACCCGUAGAACAAGCAUCGGCUAACUCCGUGCCAGCAGCCGCGGUAAUACGGAGGAUGCGAGCGUUAUCCGGAUUUAUUGGGUUUAAAGGGAGCGUAGGCGGAUUAUUAAGUCAGUUGUGAAAGUUUGCGGCUCAACCGUAAAAUCGCAGUUGAUACUGGG